AUCAUUAAUGAGAGUGAAAAUUUUUGAUGUUAAGUUGCAAUGUUGAAAGUCAACUGGAAAAUAUUUUUUGGCAUGUAGAUUGGAAAAUAUUAAUUUGUUUUCAGUGAAUGAGAUUAUUGGACGGACCUAUAAGAACUUCAUACUCUGCUAUUUAUAGUUGAAUAUGGAGAAAAUUAUAUGAAAAAGGGGUAAAUUCUGAAUUUUGCUAGUGACAGCUAGAGAUGAUCAGCUGUGGUUAAUACACUAAUGGAUUUCUG
This 257-nucleotide unclassified non-coding RNA is filed under the name Hevea brasiliensis (rubber tree). Lineage: Eukaryota; Viridiplantae; Streptophyta; Magnoliopsida; Malpighiales; Euphorbiaceae. The record is from RNAcentral.